This 83-nucleotide small nuclear RNA is filed under the name Rattus norvegicus (Norway rat). RNAcentral's name for it is "U4 spliceosomal RNA (ENSRNOG00000063065.2)". It matches the Rfam family "U4 spliceosomal RNA". Rfam says of the family: U4 small nuclear RNA (U4 snRNA) is a component of the major U2-dependent spliceosome. The record is from RNAcentral. Lineage: Eukaryota; Metazoa; Chordata; Mammalia; Rodentia; Muridae.
AGCUUUGCGCAGUGGCAGUAUCGUAGCCAAUGAGGUUUAUCCGAGGUGCGAUUAUUGCUAAUUGAAAAAAAAAACUAGAUGAU